Mus musculus (house mouse) is the source of this 46-nucleotide non-coding RNA. The record is from Rfam. NCBI's taxonomy places the organism in Eukaryota, Metazoa, Chordata, Mammalia, Rodentia, Muridae.
CCAAAGGCUCUUUUCAGAGCCACCUACACUUUCAGCGUAAAAAGCU